This 253-nucleotide ribosomal RNA is filed under the name uncultured bacterium. Its description in RNAcentral is "partial 16S ribosomal RNA". It matches the Rfam family "Bacterial small subunit ribosomal RNA", at positions 524 to 776 of the family's 1533-position model. The record is from RNAcentral.
UACGUAGGGGGCAAGCGUUGUCCGGAAUUAUUGGGCGUAAAGAGCGUGUAGGCGGUCCGGUAAGUCAGCUGUGAAAGUCAAGGGCUCAACCCUUGAAAGCCGGUUGAUACUGUCGGGCUAGAGUCCGGAAGAGGCGAGUGGAAUUCCCGGUGUAGCGGUGAAAUGCGCAGAUAUCGGGAGGAACACCAAUGGCGAAGGCAGCUCGCUGGGGCGGUACUGACGCUGAGACGCGAAAGCGUGGGGAGCAAACAGG